This 468-nucleotide ribosomal RNA is filed under the name uncultured bacterium. Its description in RNAcentral is "partial 16S ribosomal RNA". It matches the Rfam family "Bacterial small subunit ribosomal RNA", at positions 28 to 507 of the family's 1533-position model. The record is from RNAcentral.
GACGAACGCUGGCGGCGUGCUUAACACAUGCAAGUCGAACGGAAAGGCCCUGCUUUUGUGGGGUGCUCGAGUGGCGAACGGGUGAGUAACACGUGAGUAACCUGCCCUUGACUUUGGGAUAACUUCAGGAAACUGGGGCUAAUACCGGAUAGGAGCUCCUGCUGCAUGGUGGGGGUUGGAAAGUUUCGGCGGUUGGGGAUGGACUCGCGGCUUAUCAGCUUGUUGGUGGGGUAGUGGCUUACCAAGGCUUUGACGGGUAGCCGGCCUGAGAGGGUGACCGGCCACAAUGGGACUGAGAUACGGACCAGACUCCUACGGGAGGCAGCAGUGGGGAAUAUUGCACAGUGGGCGGGAGCCUGAUGCAGCGACGCCGCGUGCGGGAUGACGGCCUUCGGGUUGUGAACCGCUUUCGCCUGUGACGAAGCGUGAGUGACGGUAAUGGGUAAAGAAGCACCGGCUAACUACGUG